AGUGAACGCUGGCGGUAGGCCUAACACAUGCAAGUCGAACGGCAGCGCAGUAAGAGCUUGCUCUUACGGGUGGCGAGUGGCGGACGGGUGAGGAAUACAUCGGAAUCUACUUUUUCGUGGGGGAUAACGUAGGGAAACUUACGCUAAUACCGCAUACGACCUACGGGUGAAAGCAGGGGAUCUUCGGACCUUGCGCGAUUGAAUGAGCCGAUGUCGGAUUAGCUAGUUGGCGGGGUAAAGGCCCACCAAGGCGACGAUCCGUAGCUGGUCUGAGAGGAUGAUCAGCCACACUGGAACUGAGACACGGUCCAGACUCCUACGGGAGGCGGCAGUGGGGAAUAUUGGACAAUGGGCGCAAGCCUGAUCCAGCCAUACCGCGUGGGUGAAGAAGGCCUUCGGGUUGUAAAGCCCUUUUGUUGGGAAAGAAAAGCAGCAGGUUAAUACCCCGCUGUUCUGACGGUACCCAAAGAAUAAGCACCGGCUAACUUCGUG
This 492-nucleotide ribosomal RNA is filed under the name uncultured bacterium. RNAcentral's name for it is "partial 16S ribosomal RNA". It matches the Rfam family "Bacterial small subunit ribosomal RNA", at positions 29 to 507 of the family's 1533-position model. The record is from RNAcentral.